CUCCAAGGAAUUGACGGGGCCGCACAAGCGGAGGAGCAUGUGGUUUAAUUCGAUGAUACGCGAGGAACCUUACCUGGGCUCGAACGUAAGAUGACUGUAGGUGAAAGCUUACAUCUCUUCGGAGCAUUUUACGAGGUGCUGCAUGGUUGUCGUCAGCUCGUGCCGUGAGGUGUCGGGUUAAGUCCCAUAACGAGCGCAACCCCUACCUUUAGUUGCCAUCAGGUUAAGCUGGGGACUCUAAAGGAACUGCCUACGCAAGUAGUGAGGAAGGCGGGGAUGACGUCAAAUCAGCACGGCCCUUACGUCCAGGGCUACACACGUGCUACAAUGGCCGAUACAGAGGGCAGCUACCUGGUGACAGGAUGCAAAUCUCCAAAGUCGGUCUCAGUUCGGAUCGGAGUCUGCAACCCGACUCCGUGAAGUUGGAUUCGCUAGUAAUCGCGCAUCAGCCAUGGCGCGGUGAAUACGUUCCCGGGCCUU
This 480-nucleotide ribosomal RNA is filed under the name uncultured Sphingobacteriales bacterium. RNAcentral describes it as "bacterial SSU rRNA". It matches the Rfam family "Bacterial small subunit ribosomal RNA", at positions 900 to 1382 of the family's 1533-position model. Lineage: Bacteria; Pseudomonadati; Bacteroidota; Sphingobacteriia; Sphingobacteriales. The record is from RNAcentral.